This is a non-coding RNA of Phascolarctos cinereus (koala), 1707 nucleotides long. NCBI's taxonomy places the organism in Eukaryota, Metazoa, Chordata, Mammalia, Diprotodontia, Phascolarctidae. The record is from RefSeq and is a predicted model, not a curated record.
CCAACAUGCCUUUCGUUUUCUGCAGCCUUCAUUGUAAUCUACUUCACCCAAGACAUACUAUCUGGCAGAAGUUGAAGGAAGUGUCUAUGUCUGGUUUCAUUAUCACACUGCCUGGGCUUUUAGCCUGAGAAGGAUUCAUCGGAGGAACAGACUGAAGAAGGAGAUUCGGUUGGGAAAGGAAAUUGAAACAUAGGAAGUAGAUGCCUAGACCCUGAGCUACCAUGAUGAAUUCAUUUUCCUAUGACAUGAUGUGAAAUACUAACAAUCACAUUCUCUCUAAAGCAACCGAUUUUCAGUAAGUUGGAGGGGGGGAGGGAAGUGUUAGAUUAGCAGCAGUCAGUCCAAGCCAGCUUGCAAAAUAAAGCAAGUAAUUUCUGUGAAGAAAGAAUCUGGAUAUGUGCAUAAGUACUCAAGCAGAAUAUGAAGGCAAAGGUGAUGCAGACUCUUAAGGUGUAAAGAAUCUACACAAGAAGAGGAAAACCAUGGAUCCUGGAAGGAUUAAAGAAAUAACAAUACACAAUAGUGACUCAUAAUUACUACUUAAAAACACAGUUUCUUCACGGUGAUCCCAUGAGACUUGAAAAAAAGUUGAGAAAUCAAGAAUUUUGGAAAGUAGAGCUCAGUCUUUCAACCACCAAUAGAUUAUUUUAUUCAUGAUUUUUUGCAUGCUAUUUCACAACCUGUAUUAUUUCCUUAUCUAUCCAUGUUCUUCCAAUUUGGGCCAAGAGUCCAUGACCAUGUGCCUCCUAUUAAUGUCAAGAGCGAGUGAUGCACUGUGAUGAAAUUCAACUUUGACUGACCUUCAGUUCCACUGUUCACUGCACCAACACUGCCAUGGAGAAAUGAGAGAGGCAAUUGUUGGCUGUGGGGGAAAAAAAGCUGUUUUUUACUUAUCAGAAGAUUGACAAACCCUAAGGAAUAUUAUCCUUCCCAAGACUAUAUUGAAAAUGAUGAAAAUGUGUUGUGUUUGCUGCAGAUGUCAAAUUUUUCCAAAGGCACAAAAUCAAGUCAAUUCCACACCUCCCACACACCAACACAAACUGUUUUUUAUUAGCUUGAAUUGUUGGUUACAUCCCUAGGAAGGUUUAGUGUAAGUCUACAAUUAGAGGAAAAACUAAUCACAUUUUGUAAACCUCUGAAUGAUAUAGCACAUACAGUCUCUCACAAUCACAAUAUGGUAGGUAAGACCAGUUGUCAAUAACCAGAUUUUACCCUGCUGUCCCACAUGCUAUGUAGGGUUAUAUCACAAUAAGGUUGCAAGCCAAAUCAACCAGUUACUUAAGAUGGCUACUAGGACAGUCUAAUUAUAGUUAGGAAACAAGGACUGUCACUGUUAUCAAGGAUCAAAUAUUUCACUUUUUUUUGAGAAUGGGGUUAUUUUACAUACCCUAAGUUAACCUUAACAGGAAAACUGACUUUUUAUUUUUAGGAAAAUCAGGAAAACAAUUUCAAACUUAUGAAUAGCAUGAAAUACAGGCAUUCAAGACAAUGGCUUUUCCUUUUUGACAAAGUUUUUUUUGGUCCAAAAUGUUCUUUUGAAUCGAUUGAUGAAAAACACAGAGAGACCUAUUUUCUCCACAGAAUAGAGCAAUAUACUAUGGAAAUCAAUGUUUCUUGGCAGAUGAAAUAUUCCUGUGAGUAGUUGUGUCAGAGGAAUAAAUAGAGAUAAAUAUGUUUUAAGUAAUAUUAUUUUCAAUAAAAAUAGGA